Salvia splendens (bonfire salvia) is the source of this 1111-nucleotide RNA transcript. It is a transcript of the gene named SKI/DACH domain-containing protein 1-like, with no coding region annotated. The record is from RefSeq and is a predicted model, not a curated record. NCBI's taxonomy places the organism in Eukaryota, Viridiplantae, Streptophyta, Magnoliopsida, Lamiales, Lamiaceae. The transcript is spliced from 3 exons.
UAAAAGGGUGAAGAAGUCAAAGAUGUUGACUUAAAUCAGAGAAGAAAUCCAAGCAAAUCAGUAAAAACUACUCCUAAAAGAAGGUGUCGACUUCAUCAACCGCCAUGGCCUCAAACGACAACGGCGGCAAAAGCUCAUCACUACACCCUAUCCACCACCACCACCACCAUUACUUUUACGUAUCGCCUCACUGCCCACUCCACCGCCCUAUUCUGCAACCAAUCAACCACACUCCUUCGUGCUCUCUCUCCACCCCAGCCCCCACCGCUUCAAUUCCGAUCAUUCCCCAUAUCACUACGCAUUCCGAUCAGAUAUCCGAUGAUGCACGGGCUUGGUGAUUCUCCCCCUUUUUCUGAUACUUGGUAACUGGAACCCUCGUAAUUAGGCUUUCUGCUCAGUGAUUUAAGCUCGUGUAAGAAUCGGGCAUUGGAUAUCGAUUUAGUGUUGAUUACUUGAUGAUUUUCACAAAUUUUACAGUAGCUUGGAUCAAGCUUUAAAAAAUAGUAUCUUUACAUUUCACUUAGUUAUUAUCAUAUUCAUAAUCAUAAAUCAUAUUGUGAUGAUUUUCAAAAUUUUACAGUAGCUUGCUUAGUACAUUUCACUUUGUUCUUAUGGUGGUUUUCUAACACUUUGUGUUGCAUCUAUGGAUGCAAGGAUUAUUGAUAAUGAAAUAGAGAAUCUGGAAGAUGAGAAUGAGGAGGAAGAAGAAGAAGAUCCCAUUUUCGUUCUAACAGAUGAAUGGAGGGAAUUCUUUGCUAAAUCUGAGGCCAAAAGGAAACUAGCCAAGAAGCAAGCUAAGAAGGGGAAGAAGUAGAACUCGGUGCAUUGCUGGAAAACAACAAAAAUUUCGAAGCUCAGUUAACAGAGAUGAUGAUGAGUUCAGAAUCAAGUUUCAUCUUCAAUUUUGCUACAUCAAGUGAUUACAUGUCUUUCUGAGUUUCUAUUCAUGUUUCAAGCUGGGAUUUUUAGUCUUUCUUCUACCUUAAUAUUACCAAACUUUUAUCCCUUGUGGAUUAUUACUAUACCAGUUUUCAUCUUUUGUCUGAAUACAAGAUGAAAAAACAUUACGAAAACUACAGAAUGUCAUCCGAUGCGUGCAGUGUGUUGGUUA